Molecule: ribosomal RNA, 516 nt
Filed under: uncultured Bacillus sp.
Lineage: Bacteria; Bacillati; Bacillota; Bacilli; Caryophanales; Bacillaceae
Description: bacterial SSU rRNA
Rfam family: Bacterial small subunit ribosomal RNA
Source: RNAcentral
UAGUCGUCCGUGCUACGACGACGAACGCUGGCGGCGUGCCUAAUACAUGCAAGUCGAGCGGACAGAAGGGAGCUUGCUACCCGGAUGUUAGCGGCGGACGGGUGAGUAACACGUGGGUAACCUGCCUGUAAGACUGGGAUAACUCCGGGAAACCGGAGCUAAUACCGGAUAGUUCCUUGAACCGCAUGGUUCAAGGAUGAAAGACGGUUUCGGCUGUCACUUACAGAUGGGCCCGCGGCGCAUUAGCUAGUUGGUGAGGUAACGGCUCACCAAGGCGACGAUGCGUAGCCGACCUGAGAGGGUGAUCGGCCACACUGGGACUGAGACACGGCCCAGACUCCUACGGGAGGCAGCAGUAGGGAAUCUUCCGCAAUGGACGAAAGUCUGACGGAGCAACGCCGCGUGAGUGAUGAAGGUUUUCGGAUCGUAAAGCUCUGUUGUUAGGGAAGAACAAGUGCAAGAGUAACUGCUUGCACCUUGACGGUACCCAACCAGAAAGCCACGGCUAACUACGUG